CAUAGACCAAGCUGGGUCUGAAUCAAUAAGGAUGUGUCAACAACUAUGAUAUUAGUUUAGGCAAAAUAGAUGGGAGUGGAAGGUAAAUGUCCCCACUCUGCAUGCUUUCUUGACAUACGCCAGCUGACUGAGGGCUGUUCAUCGAAUGAAGCUUAGGGUGUCAGCAUGUCAGGACUGAUACAGUGAUGAGACACUCUCCCUCCGCUCCUUUUCAAUUCUGUUAAAAAUAGCAGAGUAAAUCAAAUCUAUUCCUUUUAUGAAAGCAACACUGCCCUGGGGCCUUCAAGGCUCUUAUUGAGAGAUGAGUUCUCUGCCUCUCUGUGAUAUGAGUACUCGUACUGUUAUUGAAAUGGAACAAUGGCAGGCAUUCUGUGGACAGCUAGUAGCAGCUGUUGAUCAGAGCUCUAUGGCUCAGUAACUUCAAAGGAUGGAGGGGAAAGACUGUUUUUCUACCACUCUGCUGAUAUUGAAGAGUACAGCACGUUUAGAUGGUAAACAAGGGCUCUGGUAUAACCUGAGAGACAGAGAAAGAGAUAAAAAGGGGGAGUAGAAAUUUGGCUCACAUCACACAAUACAUACUUGCCAUCCCACCCAUAAUAAAACUGCCCAUGCAAGAGGUAGAAUGUGCCAACAACCAA
Molecule: long non-coding RNA, 638 nt
Organism: Podarcis raffonei (Aeolian wall lizard)
Lineage: Eukaryota; Metazoa; Chordata; Lepidosauria; Squamata; Lacertidae
Exons: 2
Source: RefSeq, a predicted model, not a curated record